GAAAUGCGAUAAGUAAUGUGAAUUGCAGAAUUCAGUGAAUCAUCGAAUCUUUGAACGCACAUUGCGCCCCUUGGUAUUCCGGGGGGCAUGCCUGUUCGAGCGUCAUUAUAACCCUCAAGCUUAGCUUGGUAUUGGGGCUUGCCUCCGGGCAGCUCUUAAAAUCAGUGGCAGCGCUAUCUAGCUCUAAGCGUAGUAAUUCUUCUCGCUAUAGAGUCCCGGUAGUUGCUCGCCAGAACCCCCCAAUUUUUCUAUGGUUGACCUCGGAUCAGGUAGGGAUACCCGCUGAACUUAA
RNAcentral lists this unclassified non-coding RNA (292 nucleotides) under uncultured Leotiomycetes. RNAcentral describes it as "sequence contains ITS1". The stretch from base 1 to 105 matches the Rfam family "5.8S ribosomal RNA", at positions 50 to 154 of the family's 154-position model. The record is from RNAcentral. Lineage: Eukaryota; Fungi; Ascomycota; Leotiomycetes.